AAUCAAACAAAUUAGUUAGUAAGGCUGUAAGAAUCCCAGGUAGGAAUUUAUGGAUUUCGAUUUUUUUAGUACCAAAGAAAUAUGGUUUUGGCUUUUUUUUUAUAUUUCUUAAAUUGUCGAGUCCCAGAAGAACUGUGGCGAGUAAAAGAGUAAGGAGUCGAUAGCUGCGGUUCGUAGAAUGAGGAGACAAGGUGAGCCAAGCCCCGACGAGACAAAAGGUGCCUCGAUGUAAUCGUGAAGGAGGUAAGCGAGAGAAAGCCACUCAGUUGCCUCUUAUGCGAGGGUCCCCAUAGGGUGUAAGAUUGCCCCACCAAGGCCAACUUGUCCGCAAUCGGGAAGACCUUGGAAGAGUCUGAAGCUGAUGGUAGUGGAAGUGACUGAGAGCUUCAAGUAAGUAGGCUUGGCAGUAUUCGAGUGGUAAAUGAUGCGCAUGACGUGGAGCUAUGAGUGUUAAGGUUGGGUGCCAUUCGAAGGUGUCCCAAAGCAGAGGACAAUCGGGCACCAAGGAAGAAUGUGAAACUGAGCGAGAAGAAGUCCAACCCUACUCCUGCAAAGGUGUAACGCAAGAAGUGGAGAGAGCGUCGGUAACAUGGAAGUGAAGGAACCGAGAGUGAAGGUUCCUAGAGUAGCAACAGUCAUGCAAAGCCGAGGGUAAAAGACUUGGCGCGGAGGCCCCGAAGAAGUGUUCUCGAAGAAGGUAUCAAUCAAAGAACCGAGAGCAUGUAUUGUGCUUAAAAUUACCUUUUUAUCCCCUAUUAAUUCUUCUACCA
RNAcentral lists this long non-coding RNA (770 nucleotides) under Gossypium barbadense (sea-island cotton). RNAcentral's name for it is "long non-coding RNA (GBAR_LNC019629)". Lineage: Eukaryota; Viridiplantae; Streptophyta; Magnoliopsida; Malvales; Malvaceae. The record is from RNAcentral.